Molecule: non-coding RNA, 99 nt
Organism: Jatropha curcas
Lineage: Eukaryota; Viridiplantae; Streptophyta; Magnoliopsida; Malpighiales; Euphorbiaceae
Source: Rfam
AAAGCAAGUGAUGAAAUUGGAUUUAAAUUUCUCACGACGGUCGUCUGAGAGACACGUCAAGUGUCGCCGCUGAUGCAAUGAUCCAAUAUUCUGAUGUUU